GGGCCGUUAGCGCAGUUGGUAGCGCGCAUCCAUGGCAUGGAUGAGGUCACCGGUUCGAACCCGGUACGGUCCA
This 73-nucleotide transfer RNA is filed under the name Candidatus Berkelbacteria bacterium. Its description in RNAcentral is "tRNA-Ala". It matches the Rfam family "tRNA". From Rfam's summary of the family: Transfer RNA (tRNA) molecules are approximately 80 nucleotides in length. Their secondary structure includes four short double-helical elements and three loops (D, anti-codon, and T loops). Further hydrogen bonds mediate the characteristic L-shaped molecular structure. tRNAs have two regions of fundamental functional importance: the anti-codon, which is responsible for specific mRNA codon recognition, and the 3' end, to which the tRNAs corresponding amino acid is attached (by aminoacyl-tRNA synthetases). tRNAs cope with the degeneracy of the genetic code in two manners: having more than one tRNA (with a specific anti-codon) for a particular amino acid; and 'wobble' base-pairing, i.e. permitting non-standard base-pairing at the 3rd anti-codon position. The record is from RNAcentral. Lineage: Bacteria; Candidatus Berkelbacteria.